AUUUCAUAAACCCAAAGGAGUACGUAGUGGUUGGAGGGCUGAAUAAAAGCAUUGAAUACACCAUACACCAUUCAAUGAUGGUUGGUGUAGCCCAAAUGGGGAUUUUACCCAAAAAUUAAAAAGGAAUCACCACAGCUCACUCACGGCCAAACAAUAACCACACAAGUUUGGUAGAACGUACGCAUUUCACUUUCUGCACACUACAAAUUCUGCCAAAUGAUACUGAAGAAAUCCAUGUUAAGGAACUUUACUCAUAUCCCAGUCGAACCGAGUAACCUAAAAAAAUAUGCAUUAAUAUAGGGGUAGAUAUAAAUAAAAAUAUAUAAAUUAUACUCACAGUCUCCUUAAAUAUUGUUCGGGUGCUUCAAAUCAAAAAAAUUCUCCAAAUAAUUCAGGUGUAAUCUGGAAUUUUUCAAUUAUGUCGGCAAACACGUCUGUAUGAAUAAAGAAGAGAAAUAAAAACAGUCUUCUUCUUAUUUCCAUUCAUCAACAUUUCAUUCAGCGUGAAUGGAUAACAUUGUAGAAACUAAGGUUGCCACCUUGCUAUAUACGCAUAAACGUAUGGGGGGACGGGUCGUACCAUAACGCAUACAUGUAUAUGUGUGCAUACAUUAAAAAAAUGACGCCACACAAAGUACCGUUGAACAAAUCUCACGGUUCCAAAAGGGUAUGCUUACCAUUGAAGUUCCAGAAAUGCCCGGCCAUGAGACUUCAGGGCUGUGGGAGUUCCCCACGUGGAAUAAUAAAACCUUCCGCACAUCGACCUUUGCAAAAUUAACUCAGCAAAGGGUCGAAGUUUUGUUGCGUCGGGUGGGCCAUCAGGGGGCGUGUAGGCUACAUGGCUUACCUGGAAAAUUCAAUGUAAAUAGUUUUUACAUUGUUUUUAAAAUAUGCCAUUUGUUUACUUACCCCAGUAGCUAUUUCUUUGAAAAGAGAAAUAGCUCAGAGACCCGAUUCAGAAAAAUAAAAUUUUAAAGUUAGAUGCUGUUGCGCAUCAGGCGAAAUGAAAAAGAAAAUGACAAGAAGGAAAUGGAUGGCGUUGCCAUUAUAAAAGAAUAGGGAUCGUUCAAUCGUUAUUUGGCUACGGAUUUAUACAACCAUGGCUGAGUAGCCAUUUCGUAGCUACCCUAUCGCCAUCAACAAGGUCCAUAAUAAAUAUUGGAAAUUUUAGGAAAAAUGGUGGCAAAAUGAAGCGACUAUAAAAAGGGGGAAAAUAGGAAAAUUGGCAACAUAGUGUUGCAAAAGAUCUAAGCAAGAAGACGGUCCAAAGUAGUUUUUAACACUAAAAAAAAGUGAAUAUUUAUAUGUGUGUUUACUUGUUAACAAAAAGUUCCCCAAAAUCACAAUAUUUUUUUUGGUCUCCACUGACUGCUGAGUGGGGAUCUGGUGUUAAAUGCCCGGUCCUUGGGUUUAAAUUGGCCGUUGAAUUUGAAGGUCUCCCUGUUUGGUGUCAUACUUCUGUUUGGUGUCCGUAUCUGAGGCAGCGGAAUUUGGGUCAAAAUUGAUCGGAUGGCCACAAGUUGGAGAUUUUUUUUUGAU
This is a long non-coding RNA of Musca domestica (house fly), 1539 nucleotides long. RefSeq lists it as uncharacterized. The record is from RefSeq and is a predicted model, not a curated record. Lineage: Eukaryota; Metazoa; Arthropoda; Insecta; Diptera; Muscidae. The transcript has 2 exons.